ACCUAAUGAGGCAGAACAGUGAGCUUCUGAUACAGUGAGAGACACAGUCUUAAAAGACAAGGUAGGGAAAAUUAGAGGAAGACACUUGAUGUUCUACAUCUAUACACACAUACACACACACAUACACACACAUACAGAGACAGAGAGAUCGACAUAGAGAAAGAAGUUGCAGUAUUAAGUUGAGUAUUAAAAACUUUAGAAGUUGGACGGUACCAAUCUUGGUUUCCAUCAUGGCUGAAGCACACAAGGGCACAGAACAUACUCCUUUACCUUUAGACAGAGGUGCUCUGGAGAACACCCUCAGCCUGCUGCAUGCUCUUUAUCAGAUGGGUUCCAUGUGAAGAGGGCAUAAGAACAUGCCUCAGGCCAGCUAUAGGAGCCAAGAAGCAGAGGCCACUGUGGUCAGAGGGAGCCAUCAUUAGCCCAAGUGGAGAGAACCAUACUGACAGCCCCGGAAUAAUACAAAGAACCAGAAGAGAGAGAUUCAAAGUAAACUUUAUAAAAGUUACUUCAGGAUGCAGCCAUAGAAUCUACUGAACACCUUCCAGAGUUGCCUGAGUAAUAUCAGUUGUUCCAGUUAGAAAACUUC
RNAcentral lists this long non-coding RNA (589 nucleotides) under Mus spicilegus (steppe mouse). RNAcentral's name for it is "lncRNA (ENSMSIG00000023069.1)". Lineage: Eukaryota; Metazoa; Chordata; Mammalia; Rodentia; Muridae. The record is from RNAcentral.